CGAAAAUAUUCAUGAUCACGUUGAAGGAAAUUUUUCCAAUAUGUAGAUAAUUGAAUUUGAACGAUAAAUUCAAUUUCUCUCGUUAGAAUUUGUUAUUUCUUUUAAUUUGUACAAACGUUUUGAAAUGGGCCGUGUAUAUUUAUAGCGAAGAUCGAUCAUCGACGUCAUUUCCACUCGAGUCUGACAAAGUGUACGUACGUAUCGUUAAUAAAAUUAUUCAAAUCCUUAGUUUUACCCGGAACAGAAGAAGAAGAAGAAUUAUAUUAUACCGUGUGUACAUAGGAUAACAAUUCGUUUAUCGCUUUAGAACGAAAUUAAUAAAUCCGUUUUUAAAUUGUUCGACGCACGCUCCUGAAAAUGAUUAUGUCUAAAUAUAUAUAUAUAUAUUGAUUAAAAAUGCGUGAAUAGAAUGUCGGUUCGAUUGUAGAGAGACUCGCAAAUGUGUAGAAGUCGGCAAAUACCGAGAAAGACGAUCGUUGUCAAAGAGAAUUCGAUUAAAACUCGACUGCGACUGGAAUAAGAAAAGGAAAAGAGAGAAAAAAAAAGAAGAAAAACCCGACAUCGAUACGGGACGAGUUAACAGGUUGCCGUAUAUCAUUCUGUUUUCCUAACGAAUCAUACUUUCCAUGAUUUAUGGAUGAAGGAAACGUUCUGUAUCACGCAAAGUCAAACGAGCGCGUUAAAUAAUUCAACAACGUUCCAUGUAUGCUACAUUCUUAACGAGUGUAUGAAGAACGUAAACGUUGUCUCGAUAGAAAUGU
Long non-coding RNA from Apis florea (little honeybee), 761 nucleotides. The record is from RefSeq and is a predicted model, not a curated record. Lineage: Eukaryota; Metazoa; Arthropoda; Insecta; Hymenoptera; Apidae.